This 252-nucleotide unclassified non-coding RNA is filed under the name plant metagenome. RNAcentral describes it as "partial contains small subunit ribosomal RNA, internal transcribed spacer 1, and 5.8S ribosomal RNA". The record is from RNAcentral.
UUUCCGUAGGUGAACCUGCGGAAGGAUCAUUAACGAGUUAGGGUCUUCUAGGCCCGACCUCCCAACCCUAUGUUUAUUGAACCUCUGUUGCUUCGGCGGACCCGCCUCACGGCCGCCGGAGGACCGCUGCAAGGCGUCCUCUGGCCAGCGUCCGCCGAUGGCAACCACUUAAACUCUGAAUGAAUCGUGUCAUAUGUCUAAGUCUAUGAUUAAAUUAAAGCAAAACUUUCAACAACGGAUCUCUUGGUUCUG